CUACGAAGAUGAGAUGUUUGAACUCUCUCUUUCUGAAGCUUCAGUGGAGAAAACCUUUAUCAGAUUCUGAGUAGC
RNAcentral lists this small nucleolar RNA (75 nucleotides) under Salvator merianae (Argentine black and white tegu). RNAcentral describes it as "Small nucleolar RNA SNORD26 (ENSSMRG00000010387.1)". It matches the Rfam family "Small nucleolar RNA SNORD26". Rfam says of the family: U26 is a member of the C/D class of snoRNA which contain the C (UGAUGA) and D (CUGA) box motifs. U26 is encoded within the U22 snoRNA host gene (UHG) in mammals and is thought to act as a 2'-O-ribose methylation guide for ribosomal RNA. The record is from RNAcentral. Lineage: Eukaryota; Metazoa; Chordata; Lepidosauria; Squamata; Teiidae.